GUGCCAGCAGCCGCGGUAAUACGGAGGGUGCAAGCGUUAUCCGGAUUUACUGGGUUUAAAGGGUGUGUAGGCGGGUCUUUAAGUCAGUGGUGAAAUCUCCGAGCUCAACUUGGAAACUGCCAUUGAUACUAUUGAUCUUGAAUUCUGUUGAGGUUGGCGGAAUAAGUCAUGUAGCGGUGAAAUGCAUAGAUAUGACUUAGAACACCGAUUGCGAAGGCAGCUAACUAAGCAGAUAUUGACGCUGAGGCACGAAAGCGUGGGGAUCAAACAGGAUUAGAUACCCUUGUAGUCC
RNAcentral lists this ribosomal RNA (292 nucleotides) under uncultured bacterium. RNAcentral describes it as "partial 16S ribosomal RNA". It matches the Rfam family "Bacterial small subunit ribosomal RNA", at positions 505 to 796 of the family's 1533-position model. The record is from RNAcentral.